UAGCAGCACGUAAAUAUUGGCGUAGUGAAAUAGAUAUUAAACACCAAUAUUACUGUGCUGCUUU
Molecule: microRNA precursor, 64 nt
Filed under: Nomascus leucogenys (northern white-cheeked gibbon)
Lineage: Eukaryota; Metazoa; Chordata; Mammalia; Primates; Hylobatidae
Description: microRNA nle-mir-16 precursor (nle-mir-16-2)
Gene: nle-mir-16-2
Rfam family: mir-16 microRNA precursor family
About the family: The hairpin precursors (represented here) are predicted based on base pairing and cross-species conservation -- their extents are not known. In this case the mature sequence is excised from the 5' arm of the hairpin.
Source: miRBase by way of RNAcentral